UUUGAAGCAAUUAUGCUCGGAGCGUUUCAGCGACUGUCUCUCUAGUAGGGAGGCUCCUUGGCUGUUUAUAUUCAAGAUGAAAGGCUCCAGGUUAACAUUUCCCUCACAGGAAAUUCAUUCAAACCGUGUUCAGUGGGGGGAGGCUGUCGAGAUGUAUCAGGAGUGACAAAUCUCAGUCAGAAAUAGAGCCCUGGGUGGACUGUCUGAUCGCUGUGGGCCGGGGGUGGAAGGCGCGGAGCUGGAGGGCAAGUGGCUGCCCAGCCUGCCGUCUGAGGAUCUGUUCGUGAAAGCGUCCUGCUCACUGGACCUGCUUCCUCGAGAAGCUGUUCUUGGCCAAAGGACCGUCCAAGCAGUUUCCCGGAGUCCAGCUCGGUGUCCGUGGGCGGGAGCCUGGGAGCCGAGGGAGGGCUGGCCCGAGACCACACGGGGGACGCCUGCCUGGCCCUCCCAGGCUGCUUCUGCGCUCCGGUUUACAAGACGACGCUCUUCCUGCCCGAUGCGAGCUGGAGGGAAGACUGCCAACUUCUGUCUUUCUGGAAAAUCCAUUUUGUGA
This 553-nucleotide long non-coding RNA is filed under the name Bos indicus x Bos taurus (hybrid cattle). RNAcentral's name for it is "lncRNA (ENSBIXG00005029188.1)". The record is from RNAcentral. Lineage: Eukaryota; Metazoa; Chordata; Mammalia; Artiodactyla; Bovidae.